UACCUGGAGUGGGGGAUAACGUAGCGAAAGUUACGCUAAUACCGCAUACGAUCUAAGGAUGAAAGCAGGGGACCGCAAGGCCUUGUGCUCCUGGAGCGGCCGAUAUCUGAUUAGCUAGUUGGUGGGGUAAAGGCCUACCAAGGCAUCGAUCAGUAGCUGGUCUGAGAGGACGACCAGCCACACUGAACUGAGACACGGUCCAACUCCUACGGGAGGCAGCAGUGGGGAAUUUUGGACAAUGGGCGCAAGCCUGAUCCAGCAAUGCCGCGUGAGUGAAGAAGGCCUUCGGGUUGUAAAGCUCUUUUGUUAGGGAAGAAACGGGUGGAGCUAAUAUCUCUGCCUAAUGACGGUACCUGAAGAAUAAGCACCGGCUAACUACGUGCCAGCAGCCGCGGUAAUACGUAGGGUGCAAGCGUUAAUCGGAAUUACUGGGCGUAAAGCGUGCGCAGGCGGUUUUGUAAGUCUGUCGUGAAAUCCCCGGGCUCAACCUGGGAAUUGCGAUGGAGACUGCAAGGCUAGAAUCUGGC
RNAcentral lists this ribosomal RNA (527 nucleotides) under uncultured bacterium. RNAcentral describes it as "bacterial SSU rRNA". It matches the Rfam family "Bacterial small subunit ribosomal RNA", at positions 128 to 652 of the family's 1533-position model. The record is from RNAcentral.